GUGGGGGCGGAGGGGGAUGGGGUUGGGGUUACCUUGGACCAGUGUACACCUAUGCCAAGACCGACCAUUACGCCAAUUUCAAGUGGGGGGUGAGGCACCAUGUUGGGGGUCAAGGAUGGGGACGUUAAAGCUGCUGGGACAAAUUAACCUGCCGUUUUUUUAAGGACUCUUCUCCCUGUUGUUAUCCUAUUUUUAUUUAGCCAUCGUUUUCAAAUUGUGACACUUGUUAAGUUGUAUAAAUAAAAUAUAAAUAAUCGUUAAAACUCUGGA
This is a long non-coding RNA of Folsomia candida, 270 nucleotides long. RefSeq lists it as uncharacterized. The transcript is spliced from 2 exons. The record is from RefSeq and is a predicted model, not a curated record. NCBI's taxonomy places the organism in Eukaryota, Metazoa, Arthropoda, Collembola, Entomobryomorpha, Isotomidae.